UGCAAACUGCGAAUACCGGAGAAUGUUAUCACGGGAGACACACGGCGGGUGCUAACGUCCGUCGUGAAGAGGGAAACAACCCAGACCGCCAGCUAAGGUCCCAAAGUCAUGGUUAAGUGGGAAACGAUGUGGGAAGGCCCAGACAGCCAGGAUGUUGGCUUAGAAGCAGCCAUCAUUUAAAGAAAGCGUAAUAGCUCACUGGUCGAGUCGGCCUGCGCGGAAGAUGUAACGGGGCUAAACCAUGCACCGAAGCUGCGGCAGCGACACUAUGUGUUGUUGGGUA
This 283-nucleotide ribosomal RNA is filed under the name Escherichia coli. RNAcentral's name for it is "partial 23S ribosomal RNA". It matches the Rfam family "Bacterial large subunit ribosomal RNA", at positions 948 to 1230 of the family's 2925-position model. The record is from RNAcentral. Lineage: Bacteria; Pseudomonadati; Pseudomonadota; Gammaproteobacteria; Enterobacterales; Enterobacteriaceae.